UAUUAAAAAAUUUAUCCAUUUGUAUUCUUAAAAAUUGGCUUGGUUGACAAAUACAGUGACAUAUGAUGUGCCACAUGUAACUUAUGCUGACAUAUAGAGACAAAUUUUUAACAGAGAAAAAGGAUGGAAUUUUUAAUA
This 138-nucleotide microRNA precursor is filed under the name Gossypium arboreum. RNAcentral's name for it is "MIR7502 microRNA precursor family". It matches the Rfam family "MIR7502 microRNA precursor family". The record is from Rfam by way of RNAcentral. Lineage: Eukaryota; Viridiplantae; Streptophyta; Magnoliopsida; Malvales; Malvaceae.